Odontomachus brunneus is the source of this 2848-nucleotide long non-coding RNA. RefSeq lists it as uncharacterized. The transcript has 5 exons. NCBI's taxonomy places the organism in Eukaryota, Metazoa, Arthropoda, Insecta, Hymenoptera, Formicidae. The record is from RefSeq and is a predicted model, not a curated record.
CGAGCAAGAGCGACCGCGCGGCCGCUGGUCAUGGUCGAUUUACGGGCAGUGCCAACUUUUAGUGGACCAUCGCGUAAGUGGACCUUCCAGCGACCUAAUCGUAAGUGCCUCUUCAUUGCUGGUGCGCGCACCCGUCCGGCAGAUAGCACUCGAUGAAAGAAAAAGGACCAAGAGUGUGCGUGCUCUUAACCGAUCAGAACUGCACGACAACUAAUGGCCUCGCCGAGACACGUGACUCACUCUCGCCGUUUCGUGCAAACACCUAACGAUUAACAUUCCGGCUUUCGGAGAUGUUUGCUUCAAUGAAGCACGCGUUACGUCGACGGAUAAGAGUGGAAAAACGCGCAACGGUCGAUAUUGGUUUCGCUGGGCUGCCGUGAGUGGUGAUACACUCUUUAAAUUUCUGGCGGUGGAAUCUCACUGAAAACGAGUGAAAAAUGAUGUUCCCUGCCAGUCAGAGAAGAAGUUCACGAACGUAAGCAGAUAUAAUGUUCCGACGAGUCGGGUGGCAUUUCGACACGCGCCUAUCGCCAACGUCGCCGAUCAUCCGGAAUAUUAACGGGCAAAAAUACGAAAGGACAGCCGUAAGAUGGUGAGAUAUUUAUUUCAUCUGGAGAACGCGGGAAGUUUCCAAGAUAAGACGCUAAAAUAACGAGGCGCGCGUUCGAGAGCUCUGUCCGCACUGGAAAUAAGAAUCGCGAAUAAUCGCGUGCCUUUCGGCAGAAAAGAAAUAUUGCGUGUGUCGAUUCUGACAGUAAUUACUGCGGCGCACUCGAGCUAGCGCGACGCGAGGUUUCCAAGGUGGAUCUAAAGUCUACGGACUUACUUGGCGAGCGUUCGCUCUCCUGCGCGGGCACCUCCGCUUCCUCCACGUCCACGAGGCUGCGGAUGCUGAAGACGCUUUUGGCCACUCGGGUCUUCUGCAGGUCGCCGACGCCCUCUGUGGCCCUUCUGGGCGUCGUGCUGAGGUCCAUCGUUGGUAUUCGCGUAAUUUUGCCACACAACGACGACGACGACGACCACCACCACUACUACCACCACCACCACUACGAGUGUCCGGGAUAACGGACGGCAGACGAGAUAGGAGCCUGCACGGCUCACGUUUUCUCACUGAAAUCACGCCGAUUUCCUCGUCGUCGGCGUUCCCUUCCGCAUCUUCGUUCGUGUGGCUCUCAUUAAUCUUCGCGAGGAAAGAAGUCGUGAACUUUUCUUCGUUUGUCUUCUUCUGCGAUUUCUUUUCGCCGAUAUUCACGCGAUUCGGAUUUUUGAAUGUUUCGAACUUUGAUGCAGGAAGAAUCUAAUUUGCAGUCUAGUGGUCGUCGUCAGGUGGUGACCGUGUCGUGGUCUCUUCUUUCGAGCACUUUGAGUCGUGACACGAGUCACAUGCAAGUUACACUCAAGCCAGAUAACGCAUUCUCGUCUGUCCGACGCAACACUUCCGGUAACUCGAAGAUAAGUGGAUCUCUGGUUUUUCCGUGGUCCCACCGGUUCUCAGGGACGAACGGGGACUCGAGUAUUUCGUGAUUGAGAAAUUGAUGAGUGUCGCGCACAUAAUCGACGUUAUUGUACGCACUUUUUUUCCACCGUGGUUGCACAGGCUGGCCAGUUAUCUUCGAGUGUCCAGUGAUCGCGUCAUCUGUAUGAAAUUUUCUUGUGAUUUACCUUUGUCUCUCUCUCUCUCUCUCUCUCUCUCUCUCUCUCUCUCUCUCUCUCUCUCUCUCUCUCUCUGUUUCAGGAUACGAUGGAUUCGAUCAUCGCUUUGUCCGCUGAUGAGGAUCGCGCCUUCGCGUCAGAACAAAAACGCGCGAUAAUGAUCGCCGAUCAACAACACUCUUGCGUCCGACAAGCAAUUCAACCGCGUGUCAACGAUUCCGUCGGCCGGCAACGGCGCGAUAUCGCUACGAUUGUUAUCAGGAGAACGUAUCAUCGCAGUCUGGCGAGUCGUGUGAGGUCACUACUGCCGAUCUCAUAAACACACGCGCACGCACCCACGUACCUAUGUUCGAGCAGGUCCACGAUGCCGCAUGCGUGGGUGUUGAUGUCACAUGGGAGCAGCACGCUGAUUCCUCGUCGACGACUCUACGGGCGACGUGCUCCUUCUGACGCGUGCUAAGUGCUCGAGAACAAGCGGAUAAGCGUCGGCAAGGUUCUCCGAUCAGUUACGGCGAGGCUCGAGCAGCCGGCGACUCGACAGCCGGUUCGACAGCUCCGUCAUGACAACCGUCGGGACAACACACGCUUGAGAAGCGAGAACGAGGAGCGCGCGGCGGCACACGCGUAUCGCGAACUCCUGGCCGGCAAUGUGCGCCGCCGUGUUCCCUCCACCUCGAGGAGGUCGAUCGCUCGCCGCUGCCCAAGGUGAUACCAGGUGGUAGAGGGGAAGGUGCAGGAGAGAGAAUCUGCAGACCGCCUUCGUGGAACAAAAUGGAGUUGAAAGCAGUCUGAAACUCCGCCCAUCGGGAUACACCCACGGUUGGCAACCGCCACGAGGAGGGUUGACAGACGACUGUUCCCUUCCCUUUCUCUCGAGGACUGUUCCUCUUGGAGAGAGAGAGAGAGAGAGAGAGAAAAAGAGAGAGAGAGAGAGAGGAGAACUCGAGUAUACUGGUCGAUGCCUCGAUGCACACGCUCCGACAUCUCGAGAUACGUUCAUCUCAAGUUACCGAGUUCAACUCGAGAGUUGCUUGUUAAUUAUAAGUACUAAUUUUGGACUAUCAUUUUUAGUCGUUUAUUUUUAUUUUUUUUAAAUCCGUAUACUGAGAGAAAAAAAUAUCUAAGAAAUAUUUAUUAAGAGACAGUUGAGUACUGAUAAUAUAUUUACUUGUACACAGGAAACAAACUUGGUUGA